GGGCCCAUGGUCUAGUGGCUAGGACGUUGCCCUCACACGGCAAAGAUGAGAGUUCAAUUCUCUCUGGGCCCA
Molecule: transfer RNA, 72 nt
Filed under: Candidatus Aenigmatarchaeota archaeon
Lineage: Archaea; Nanobdellati; Candidatus Aenigmatarchaeota
Description: tRNA-Val
Rfam family: tRNA
About the family: Transfer RNA (tRNA) molecules are approximately 80 nucleotides in length. Their secondary structure includes four short double-helical elements and three loops (D, anti-codon, and T loops).
Source: RNAcentral